UACGUAGGCAGCAAGCGUUGUUCGGAAUUACUGGGCGUAAAGAGUGUGUAGGCGGUGUUCUAAGUUUGUCGUGAAAUCUCCCGGCUUAACUGGGAGGGUGCGGCGAAAACUGGAAUGCUAGAGGAUGGGAGAGGUAAGCGGAAUUCCUGGUGUAGCAGUGAAAUGCGUAGAGAUGUGGAGGAACACCAGUGGCGAAGGCGGCUUUCUGGUCUGUAACUGACGCUGAGGCGCGAAAGCGUGGGGAGCAAACAGG
RNAcentral lists this ribosomal RNA (253 nucleotides) under uncultured bacterium. Its description in RNAcentral is "partial 16S ribosomal RNA". It matches the Rfam family "Bacterial small subunit ribosomal RNA", at positions 524 to 776 of the family's 1533-position model. The record is from RNAcentral.